RNAcentral lists this ribosomal RNA (912 nucleotides) under Nectria eustromatica. RNAcentral describes it as "eukaryotic LSU rRNA". It matches the Rfam family "Eukaryotic large subunit ribosomal RNA", at positions 1 to 941 of the family's 3401-position model. Lineage: Eukaryota; Fungi; Ascomycota; Sordariomycetes; Hypocreales; Nectriaceae. The record is from RNAcentral.
AGUUGACCUCGGAUCAGGUAGGAAUACCCGCUGAACUUAAGCAUAUCAAUAAGCGGAGGAAAAGAAACCAACAGGGAUUGCCCUAGUAACGGCGAGUGAAGCGGCAACAGCUCAAAUUUGAAAUCUGGCCCCCGUGGUCCGAGUUGUAAUUUGUAGAGGAUGCUUUUGGUGAGGUACCUUCCGAGUUCCCUGGAACGGGACGCCAUAGAGGGUGAGAGCCCCGUCCGGUUGGAUACCGAGCCUCUGUAAAGCUCCUUCGACGAGUCGAGUAGUUUGGGAAUGCUGCUCUAAAUGGGAGGUAUAUGUCUUCUAAAGCUAAAUAUUGGCCAGAGACCGAUAGCGCACAAGUAGAGUGAUCGAAAGAUGAAAAGCACUUUGAAAAGAGGGUUAAAUAGUACGUGAAAUUGUUGAAAGGGAAGCGCUUGUGACCAGACUUGGGCCUAGCUAAUCAUCCAGGGUUCUCCCUGGUGCACUUGGCUGGCCCAGGCCAGCAUCAGUUUGUCGCGGGGGAUAAAGACGUUGGGAAUGUGGCUCCCCCGGGAGUGUUAUAGCCCUUCGUGUAAUACCCUGCUUCGGACUGAGGUUCGCGCAUCUGCAAGGAUGCUGGCGUAAUGGUCAUCAGCGACCCGUCUUGAAACACGGACCAAGGAGUCGUCUUCGUAUGCGAGUGUUCGGGUGUCAAACCCCUACGCGUAAUGAAAGUGAACGCAGGUGAGAGCUUCGGCGCAUCAUCGACCGAUCCUGAUGUUCUCGGAUGGAUUUGAGUAAGAGCAUACGGGGCCGGACCCGAAAGAAGGUGAACUAUGCCUGUAUAGGGUGAAGCCAGAGGAAACUCUGGUGGAGGCUCGCAGCGGUUCUGACGUGCAAAUCGAUCGUCAAAUAUGGGCAUGGGGGCGAAAGACUAAUCGAACC